UCCUAAAUUGCACUUUGAUUUUAUGAUGCAGGCUCGACACACUCCCAUCUGGAGAAGGGCACUGAAAUAAGGACAUUGACUGCUUCGCCCUGCCUGUGUGAGACACUGUGUGCACUGGAAGGCUAUGAGGAAGUCUGGCUUUCUGAGGAAACAACAAAGGCUUUUGGCAUCCAGCAGCCUUCCUGAAAAUCAUUUCCAGGGCAUGUGCGGGUCAUCCAGAACAUGGAACCAAGGAAGGAAGAAAGGAUAUGAUGUCACCAAAUAAAUGCUAGAACCUCUGCAUGGGAAAAAAUAAUCAGAG
This 301-nucleotide long non-coding RNA is filed under the name Astyanax mexicanus (Mexican tetra). RNAcentral's name for it is "lncRNA (ENSAMXG00005003011.1)". Lineage: Eukaryota; Metazoa; Chordata; Actinopteri; Characiformes; Acestrorhamphidae. The record is from RNAcentral.